CGCAGGCCCACUCUUUGGGACCUAAGAGGUGCCGUGGGUGCCACCCACACAUCCUGGAGAGCCCAAGCUGCAAUCCUAAAACCUGGCACCUUGGCCUGUCUGCCCCAUUCUGAAUUGUUCUGGGAUAACCGCCUUGUACAGGCAGAAGGGCAGGAUUUAAAGGGAUGCAAUUCCCCAUCACACCUUGUUUAGUCCUGACAAUGCUCUGGCCUCUGGAUUCCAGGGUGGGAUACUUUGGGGGACUGAAAGCAUCAUAGGAGCACAGAAUCCUGAAACAGAGGAAGGGGUUCAUACAAAACCUCUCCGUUUCUGUUCCAGAGCCAGCAUCCCCUCCUUGUACCCAGCAAUGCCCUGGUUUAAGUUCAGGAUGGCAUUUCCAGUGACUCAUUCCUGACUUCCCAUUUGGGGUAGGUUGGGACAGGUUACCCUGCUUCUUUGGGACAGAGGAUAGAUUUUAUGUUGAGCAAAGGGGCUGGGACCACUUGUCUGUGUCUAAUCCAACAAGGAAGUGAGAAGACUCUUAUUGUCCUCGACUUGGGCCCCUAGAGAGGGCUGCUGGCUGAGUGCUGAGGGGAUUCUGGCUUGGAAAUUCAGUACAUCUGGACCCCAAAUGGCUGCCUUCAAGUGGUGGCUGGGUAACUGCCAGUGUCAGUGUGGGGAUUUUUUUUUUGUAGUUAGGAUUGAAUCUUGGGGUGCUUAACCACUGAGCUACAUCCCCAGUCCCGUGUUGUUUUGAGUCAGGAUUUUGAGACAGGGUCACACUAAGUUGCCUACCACCUCUGUAAGUUGCUUGGCUGACCUUGAAUUUGGGAUUCUCCUGCUUCAGCCUUCUGAGUUUCUGGGAUUACAGGCACCAAUGUGCCCAGUGAUUUUUUUUUUAAGCCCUUAUUGGUUACCUCAGAUUUAAAUUAUUGAGGUCACUAUUCCCACAUAGUUUUGUUCACUGAUUCUUUGACUAGGACAAUGCUAUUUGUGGAUAAAUCAUUACAUUGUGGGCCCUAUUGCUAUGCAUAGUUUAAGACUUCCACCAAAUAGAAGGUUAUCCAUGGGAAUUCACCAGUCACUAACCAGUCUGUACUCCAUAUCUUUCUACACCAGAAGCUCUGAUGCCCUCAGCUUCCCUAGGGAAGGCUUUGUGCCAGGUAACAUUUCCUGGUCCUGUGUUCUAAGGAGGGCACCCCAACACAGAGAUGGACAUUUAAUUUCCAUUCUUCUUUCCUUACUGUAUCUCCUUCUCCUCUCCUCUGUGUCUUUUCCAGGUGGAUUCUUUUUCUUUCUUUUUUAAGUUGUCAAUGGACCUUUAUUUUAUGUAUCUAUUUGCAGUGCUAAGAAUGAAAUCCAGUGCCUCACACAAGCUAAGCAAACACACUGCUAUUGAGCCACAACUCCAGCCGGCAAGGUGUAUUCUUUUUCUUUCCUCUGACUGGACACUGUUGGCUGAUUCUGUUAGACAAACCAUGACCUCUGGUGGCUGCCCAGGAAGCUGACUACUGAGUUAAGGAUGGGACCUUAACUCAGUAGUUAAGGUCCAUGCAAGGAGGACAGGGCAGGUGGUACAAGUAUGGCUUUCCCCACAUAUUAGUUAUCCAGGAACAUGGAUGUGGUGGUCUAAUACUGACUUCAAGAAUUUGGAUGUGCUGUAUAGAGGGAGGAAGUAGAGAUUAGUUGCUAAGAAUUCAAAAUGAACCACAAACCAAAGUUAG
This 1703-nucleotide long non-coding RNA is filed under the name Marmota monax (woodchuck). Lineage: Eukaryota; Metazoa; Chordata; Mammalia; Rodentia; Sciuridae. The record is from RNAcentral.